AAUACAUGCAGUCGAGCGAACUUUUAGGGAGCUUGCUCCCCAUGUUAGCGGCGGACGGGUGAGUAACACGUGGGCAACCUGCCUAUAAGACUGGGAUAACUUCGGGAAACCGGAGCUAAUACCGGAUAACAUAUUUCACCACAUGAUCUCAUAUUGAAAGACGGCUUUUAGCUAUCACUUAUAAAUGGGCCCGCGGCGCAUUAGCUAGUUGGUGAGGUAAUGGCUCACCAAGGCAACGAUGCGUACCCGACCUGAAAGGGGGAUCGGCCACCUGGGGACUGAACCCCGUCCCAAACUCUUAGGGAGGGCAGCAUAAGGAAAUUUUCCCAAUGGAAGAAAGUCUGGAGGAACCACGGCCGGGGAAGGAAGAAGGGCUACCGCUAAAAACCUUUGUUGUUAGGGAAAAAACAA
Molecule: ribosomal RNA, 411 nt
Filed under: Ferdinandcohnia onubensis
Lineage: Bacteria; Bacillati; Bacillota; Bacilli; Caryophanales; Bacillaceae
Description: bacterial SSU rRNA
Rfam family: Bacterial small subunit ribosomal RNA
Source: RNAcentral